RNAcentral lists this ribosomal RNA (395 nucleotides) under uncultured bacterium. RNAcentral's name for it is "bacterial SSU rRNA". It matches the Rfam family "Bacterial small subunit ribosomal RNA", at positions 505 to 898 of the family's 1533-position model. The record is from RNAcentral.
GUGUCAGCCGCCGCGGUAAUACGGAGGGUGCAAGCGUUGUUCGGAAUUAUUGGGCGUAAAGCGCGUGUAGGCGGUCGGGUAAGUCAGAUGUGAAAUCCUUCUGCUUAACAGAAGAAGUGCAUUUGAAACUGCUCGGCUGGAGUACGGGAGAGGAGAGUGGAAUUCCCGGUGUAGAGGUGAAAUUCGUAGAUAUCGGGAGGAACACCGGUGGCGAAGGCGGCUCUCUGGUCCGAUACUGACGCUGAGACGCGAAAGCGUGGGGAGCAAACAGGAUUAGAUACCCUGGUAGUCCACGCUGUAAACGAUGGGCACUAGGUGUAGGAGGUAUUGACCCCUUCUGUGCCGAAGUUAACGCAUUAAGUGCCCCGCCUGGGGAGUACGGCCGCAAGGUUAAA